GCGGCCGAUUAGCUAGUUGGUGGGGUAAAGGCUCACCAAGGCAAAGAUCGGUAGCCGGCCUGAGAGGGCACACGGCCACACUGGCACUGAAACACGGGCCAGACUCCUACGGGAGGCAGCAGUGGGGAAUCUUGCACAAUGGGGGAAACCCUGAUGCAGCGACGCCGCGUGAACGAUGAAGCCCUUCGGGGUGUAAAGUUCUUUCGACAGGAACGAUAAUGACGGUACCUGGAGAAGAAGCUGCGGCUAACUACGUGCCAGCAGCCGCGGUAAUACGUAGGCAGCGAGCGUUGUUCGGAGUUACUGGGCGUAAAGAGUGCGUAGGCGGUCAGCCAAGUUUGGUGUGAAAUCUCCCGGCUCAACUGGGAGGGUGCGCCGAAAACUGGUUGGCUAGAGUAUGGGAGAGGAAAGCGGAAUUCCUGGUGUAGCGGUGAAAUGCGUAGAUAUCAGGAGGAACACCUGUGGUGUAGACAGCUUUCUGGACCAUAACUGACGCUGAGGCACGAAAGCGUGGGUAGCAAACAGGAUUAGAUACCCUGGUAGUCCACGCCCUAAACGAUGCAUGCUUGGUGUGGGCCGUUCAGUCGGUCUGUGCCGGAGCUAACGCGUUAA
RNAcentral lists this ribosomal RNA (612 nucleotides) under uncultured bacterium. RNAcentral's name for it is "bacterial SSU rRNA". It matches the Rfam family "Bacterial small subunit ribosomal RNA", at positions 233 to 863 of the family's 1533-position model. The record is from RNAcentral.